CGAGCGAACAGACGAGGAGCUUGCUCUUCUGACGUUAGCGGCGGACGGGUGAGUAACACGUGGGUAACCUACCUAUAAGACUGGGAUAACUCCGGGAAACCGGGGCUAAUACCGGAUAACACAUGAAACCGCAUGGUUUCAUGAUGAAAGACGGUUUUGCUGUCACUUAUAGAUGGACCCGCGGCGUAUUAGCUAGUUGGUAAGGUAACGGCUUACCAAGGCAACGAUGCGUAGCCGACCUGAGAGGGUGAUCGGCCACACUGGAACUGAGACACGGUCCAGACUCCUACGGGAGGCAGCAGUAGGGAAUCUUCCGCAAUGGGCGAAAGCCUGACGGAGCAACGCCGCGUGAGUGAUGAAGGUCUUCGGAUCGUAAAACUCUGUUAUUAGGGAAGAACAAAUGUGUAAGUAACUAUGCACGUCUUGACGGUACCUAAUCAGAAAGCCACGGCUAACUACGUGCCAGCAGCCGCGGUAAUACGUAGGUGGCAAGCGUUAUCCGGAAUUAUUGGGCGUAAAGCGCGCGUAGGCGGUUUUUUAAGUCUGAUGUGAAAGCCCACGGCUCAACCGUGGAGGGUCAUUGGAAACUGGAAAACUUGAGUGCAGAAGAGGAAAGUGGAAUUCCAUGUGUAGCGGUGAAAUGCGCAGAGAUAUGGAGGAACACCAGUGGCGAAGGCGACUUUCUGGUCUGUAACUGACGCUGAUGUGCGAA
RNAcentral lists this ribosomal RNA (712 nucleotides) under uncultured Staphylococcus sp. RNAcentral describes it as "bacterial SSU rRNA". It matches the Rfam family "Bacterial small subunit ribosomal RNA", at positions 63 to 757 of the family's 1533-position model. The record is from RNAcentral. Lineage: Bacteria; Bacillati; Bacillota; Bacilli; Caryophanales; Staphylococcaceae.